This 1521-nucleotide small RNA is filed under the name Pongo abelii (Sumatran orangutan). Its description in RNAcentral is "retained intron". Lineage: Eukaryota; Metazoa; Chordata; Mammalia; Primates; Hominidae. The record is from RNAcentral.
AUAGCCCCGGGUUUGGCCGCCCCAGCCCCGCCUUCCCCGCCCCGGGGAGCCCGCCCCCUGCCCCGCAUCCCUGCGGACAGAGUUAGCACGACAUCAGUAUGAGCUGGUCACCUUCCCUGACAACGCAGACAUGUGGGGCCUGGGAAAUGAAAGAGCGCCUUGGGACAGGGGGAUUUGGAAAUGUCAUCCGAUGGCACAAUCAGGAAACAGGUGAGCAGAUUGCCAUCAAGCAGUGCCGGCAGGAGCUCAGCCCCCGGAACCGAGAGCGGUGGUGCCUGGAGAUCCAGAUCAUGAGAAGGCUGACCCACCCCAAUGUGGUGGCUGCCCGAGAUGUCCCUGAGGGGAUGCAGAACUUGGCGCCCAAUGACCUGCCCCUGCUGGCCAUGGAAUACUGCCAAGGAGGAGAUCUCCGGAAGUACCUGAACCAGUUUGAGAACUGCUGUGGUCUGCGGGAAGGCGCCAUCCUCACCUUGCUGAGUGACAUUGCCUCUGCGCUUAGAUACCUUCAUGAAAACAGAAUCAUCCAUCGGGAUCUAAAGCCAGAAAACAUCGUCCUGCAGCAAGGAGAACAGAGGUUAAUACACAAAAUUAUUGACCUAGGAUAUGCCAAGGAGCUGGAUCAGGGCAGUCUUUGCACAUCAUUCGUGGGGACCCUGCAGUACCUGGCCCCAGAGCUACUGGAGCAGCAGAAGUACACAGUGACCGUCGACUACUGGAGCUUCGGCACCCUGGCCUUUGAGUGCAUCACGGGCUUCCGGCCCUUCCUCCCCAACUGGCAGCCCGUGCAAUGGCAUUCGAAAGUGCGGCAGAAGAGUGAGGUGGACAUUGUUGUUAGCGAAGACUUGAAUGGAACAGUGAAGUUUUCAAGUUCUUUACCCUACCCCAAUAAUCUUAACAGCGUCCUGGCUGAGCGACUGGAGAAGUGGCUGCAACUGAUGCUGAUGUGGCAUCCCCGACAGAGGGGCACAGAUCCCACGUAUGGGCCCAACGGCUGCUUCAAGGCCCUGGAUGACAUCUUAAACUUAAAGCUGGUUCAUAUCUUGAACAUGGUCACGGGCACCAUCCACACCUACCCUGUGACAGAGGAUGAGAGUCUGCAGAGCUUGAAGGCCAGAAUCCAGCAGGACACAGGCAUCCCAGAGGAGGACCAGGAGCUGCUGCAGGAAGCGGGCCUGGCGUUGAUCCCCGAUAAGCCUGCCACUCAGUGUGUUUCAGACGGCAAGGUGAGCCCUGGCUUCGUACACACCACCCUGUUUCCCUUGGCUGUGCCUCCUGGGAAACUCAACACACCUUCAGAUUUCAAUUCUGCUUUGUCAUGUAGUCUGUUAAUGACACAGUGCGGAUACCUGGCUGGUUUUUAAGUUGGAGUAUGGUGUCCUCUGUGUGGCCUGAUAGGAAACACAAAUCUCCUUGUUGGACUUGUUACUUCCAGACCCUCCAAGACCGUUCUCUUGCCUUUAUUGCAAAAAAAGAUGCGUAACACUCGAAUCUCUCAAGUUGCCCGCUUGGCCCUCUUCCAAG